CCACUCCAUUCUUACCUCUCACGACCCCAGAAUACCACAACUUAAACUCGUCUGCAUUCCUUGCCUUCGACCCUUUCCACCUAGUCUCCUGGACACAGGCUAUGUUAACCCUCCUCUUCUGAAGAAUCUUCGCCAACUCAAUGGACUUACCUGUCAGAGUGCCUACGUUCCACAACCCGAUCCUUAAUCUAUGAGCGUCCGCUACCCUAUUCC
Molecule: long non-coding RNA, 213 nt
Filed under: Nicotiana benthamiana
Lineage: Eukaryota; Viridiplantae; Streptophyta; Magnoliopsida; Solanales; Solanaceae
Description: long non-coding RNA (NBEN_LNC026656)
Source: RNAcentral